This 274-nucleotide ribosomal RNA is filed under the name uncultured bacterium. Its description in RNAcentral is "partial 16S ribosomal RNA". It matches the Rfam family "Bacterial small subunit ribosomal RNA", at positions 523 to 796 of the family's 1533-position model. The record is from RNAcentral.
AUACGGGGGGUGCACGCGUUAAUCGGAAUUACUGGGCGUAAAGCGCGCGUAGGCGGUUUGCUCAGUCGGAUGUGAAAGCCCAGGGCUCAACCUUGGAACUGCAUACGAUACUGGCAAACUAGAGUGUGAGAGAGGAUAGUGGAAUUUCCGGUGUAGCGGUGAAAUGCGUAGAUAUCGGAAGGAACAUCAGUGGCGAAGGCGACUGUCUGGCUCAACACUGACGCUGAGGUGCGAAAGCGUGGGUAGCAAACAGGAUUAGAAACCCUAGUAGUCC